This is a long non-coding RNA of Anthonomus grandis grandis, 366 nucleotides long. RefSeq lists it as uncharacterized. The transcript is spliced from 2 exons. Lineage: Eukaryota; Metazoa; Arthropoda; Insecta; Coleoptera; Curculionidae. The record is from RefSeq and is a predicted model, not a curated record.
GGGUGUUGGUGGUGUUGGUGUGGUAGAUCUUCUACGAUAGCCCACGCGGAAUGGUGGUCUGGUGCUGCCGGGAAUCUGUCGGUUUUAGAAGUUUCUUGUUAUGUAUUUGUUUGGUUUGGAGAAAUAAAAGUGGUUUUGGUUGGAUACUAUUUAUAUGGGUGUAACACCGUUGGGUCGUGGUGUAACAACAAGCGAGACAAACGAAAUGCCAUGCGAGUGUCGUAAUGCCAAGGCGACCGCAAACCGAUCCCACAAAAUCUCAUUUUUCAUUAUGUCAAUACCGAUUGAAUUAUUAAUUUUUUAAUUGUGAUGAAAUUAUAGUUUUUUUCCCCAUGGAGAGAAAAUAAUAAAAUAAGUCUUAUGUAA